ACUUUCACCAACGGAUCUCUGGGUCUCGCAUCGAUGAAAAAAGCACCGAAUUGCGAUAAGUAAUGUGAAUUGUGCAUUUUCUCUGAAUCAUCGAAUCUUUGAACGCACCUUGCGCUCCUUGGGAUUCCCAGAAGCAUGCCUGUUUGAGUGUCA
RNAcentral lists this ribosomal RNA (153 nucleotides) under Rubroboletus rhodoxanthus. RNAcentral's name for it is "5.8S ribosomal RNA". It matches the Rfam family "5.8S ribosomal RNA". From Rfam's summary of the family: 5.8S ribosomal RNA (5.8S rRNA) is a component of the large subunit of the eukaryotic ribosome. It is transcribed by RNA polymerase I as part of the 45S precursor that also contains 18S and 28S rRNA. Lineage: Eukaryota; Fungi; Basidiomycota; Agaricomycetes; Boletales; Boletaceae. The record is from RNAcentral.